RNAcentral lists this ribosomal RNA (524 nucleotides) under uncultured bacterium. RNAcentral's name for it is "partial 16S ribosomal RNA". It matches the Rfam family "Bacterial small subunit ribosomal RNA", at positions 28 to 523 of the family's 1533-position model. The record is from RNAcentral.
GACGAACGCUGGCGGCGUGCCUAAUACAUGCAAGUCGAACGAAGCUUUUUUAACUGGUGCUUGCACCGACUUAAACAACUGAGUGGCGAACGGGUGAGUAACACGUGGGUAACCUGCCCCAAAGCGGGGGAUAACAUUUGGAAACAGAUGCUAAUACCGCAUAACCACAGAAACCACAUGGUUUCUGUGUCAAAGAUGGUUUCGGCUAUCACUUUGGGAUGGACCCGCGGCGUAUUAGCUAGUUGGUAAGGUAAUGGCUUACCAAGGCAAUGAUACGAAGCCGAGCUGAGAGGUUGGUCGGUCACAUUGGGACUGAGACACGGCCCAAACUCCUACGGGAGGCAGCAGUAGGGAAUCUUCCACAAUGGACGAAAGUCUGAUGGAGCAACGCCGCGUGAGUGAAGAAGGUUUUCGGAUCGUAAAACUCUGUUGUCAGAGAAGAACGUGUGCGAGAGUAACUGUUCGUGCAGUGACGGUAUCUGGCCAGAAAGCCACGGCUAACUACGUGCCAGCCGCCGCCGUAA